Molecule: ribosomal RNA, 253 nt
Filed under: uncultured bacterium
Lineage: Bacteria
Description: partial 16S ribosomal RNA
Rfam family: Bacterial small subunit ribosomal RNA
Source: RNAcentral
UACGAAGGGGGCUAGCGUUGUUCGGAAUCACUGGGCGUAAAGCGUAUGUAGGCGGAUUGUUAAGUCAGGGGUGAAAGCCCGAGGCUCAACCUCGGAAUUGCCUUUGAUACUGGCUGUCUUGAGUCCGGGAGAGGUGAGUGGAACUCCUAGUGUAGAGGUGAAAUUCGUAGAUAUUAGGAAGAACACCAGUGGCGAAGGCGGCUCACUGGCCCGGAACUGACGCUGAAAUACGAAAGCGUGGGGAGCAAACAGG